This 354-nucleotide ribosomal RNA is filed under the name uncultured bacterium. RNAcentral's name for it is "partial 16S ribosomal RNA". It matches the Rfam family "Bacterial small subunit ribosomal RNA", at positions 338 to 709 of the family's 1533-position model. The record is from RNAcentral.
CCUACGGGCGGCAGCAGUAGGGAAUAUUGCACAAUGGGGGAAACCCUGAUGCAGCAACGCCGCGUGGAGGAUGAAGGUUUUCGGAUCGUAAACCCCUUUUGUUAGAGAAGAAAAUGACGGUAUCUAACGAAUAAGCACCGGCUAACUCCGUGCCAGCAGCCGCGGUCAUACGGAGGGUGCAAGCGUUACCCGGAAUCACUGGGCGUAAAGGGAUCGCAGGCGGGAAUGCAAGCCAGAUGUGAAAGCCUUGGGCUUAACCAUAGGACUGCAUUUGAAACUGUUAGGCUAGAGUACGGGAGAGGAAGGUGGAAUUCCUAGUGUAGCGGUGAAAUGCGUAGAUAUCAGGAGGAACAC